RNAcentral lists this small RNA (354 nucleotides) under uncultured Glomeromycotina. Its description in RNAcentral is "eukaryotic LSU rRNA". Lineage: Eukaryota; Fungi; Glomeromycota. The record is from RNAcentral.
AGAGUUAAACAGUACGUGAAAUUGCUAAAAGGGAAACGUUUGAAAUCAGUGUAUGUCAUGGGGAAAUCAGCCGUUCAGUGUCAAAGCUGGACGGUGCACUUUUCUCAGGGCUGGUUAACAUCAGUUUGUUGGGCAGUGUAGAACAUUUGGGGAAGGUAGCUGCUUGCAGUGUUAUAGCCCCAAGAAAUGCACUGUCCCAGACUGAGGACUGCAGCAUAGGCCGUAAGGCAGGACUACCAGGUGGCUGUUGGAAAAGUGGUGGAGAACAGCUUGCUGAUCUUUAUUACUGGACUGGCACUCAUUCGACUAGUCACUACUAUGCUAAGGAUGCUGACGUAAUGGCUUUAAACGACC